UACGGAAGGGGCAAGCGUUGUUCGGAAUCAUUGGGCGUAAAGGGCGCGUAGGCGGUUCUGUAUGUCUACCGUGAAAGCGUACGGCUCAACCGUAUUUUGUCGGUAGAAACUGCAGGACUUGAGGCUGGGAGGGGCUGGUGGAAUUCCCUGUGUAGCGGUGAAAUGCGUAGAGAUGGGGGAGAACACUCGUGGCGAAGGCGACUUCCUGGCCUGUUCUUGACGCUGAGGCGCGAAAGCUAGGGGAGCAAACGGG
Molecule: ribosomal RNA, 253 nt
Filed under: uncultured bacterium
Lineage: Bacteria
Description: partial 16S ribosomal RNA
Rfam family: Bacterial small subunit ribosomal RNA
Source: RNAcentral